UGGGACACACAUCCUAGCUUUCGUAGCAUCUGCGAAUAGUGCUAUCUAUCGAAACAGGAAAGGAUACAUAUCACAAAAUAUCCUGGCUGCUUGCAAGUUCGACAUGAAGUUCGUGUACGUGUUAGCGGGAUGGGAAGGUUCCGCAUCAGAUGCACGCUUUUUGCAAAGCGUCUUGACUCACUCAAGCGAUCCUUUCGUAAUACCCCAUGGUAAAUACUACGUAGUUGAUGCAGGAUAUGCGCACUCACCCGGUUUCAUGGCCCCAUAUCGCGGUGUACGUUACCAUCUCAAUGAGUAUCAUACCGAUUGAGGUAGACCGAAGUGGCUCCAUGUCACCGAAUAGACGAACCGUACUAUCUACUCCGACGAAAUAUCACCUGGGAU
Molecule: long non-coding RNA, 384 nt
Organism: Magnolia sinica
Lineage: Eukaryota; Viridiplantae; Streptophyta; Magnoliopsida; Magnoliales; Magnoliaceae
Exons: 3
Source: RefSeq, a predicted model, not a curated record